UACGAAGGGGGCUAGCGUUGCUCGGAAUCACUGGGCGUAAAGGGUGCGUAGGCGGGUCUUUAAGUCAGGUGUGAAAUCCUGGAGCUCAACUCCAGAACUGCCUUUGAUACUGGGGAUCUUGAGUUCGGGAGAGGUGAGUGGAACUGCGAGUGUAGAGGUGAAAUUCGUAGAUAUUCGCAAGAACACCAGUGGCGAAGGCGGCUCACUGGCCCGAUACUGACGCUGAGGCACGAAAGCGUGGGGAGCAAACAGG
Molecule: ribosomal RNA, 253 nt
Filed under: uncultured bacterium
Lineage: Bacteria
Description: partial 16S ribosomal RNA
Rfam family: Bacterial small subunit ribosomal RNA
Source: RNAcentral